RNAcentral lists this ribosomal RNA (816 nucleotides) under Skyttea cismonicae. Its description in RNAcentral is "LSU rRNA". It matches the Rfam family "Eukaryotic large subunit ribosomal RNA", at positions 80 to 914 of the family's 3401-position model. The record is from RNAcentral. Lineage: Eukaryota; Fungi; Ascomycota; Leotiomycetes; Helotiales; Cordieritidaceae.
UCAGUACGGCGAGUGAGCGGCAACAGCUCAAAUUUGAAAUCUGGCGCCUUCGGGGUCCGAGUUGUAAUUUGUAGAAGAUGCUUCGGGGCAGGUCGCGGUCUAAAUUCCUUGGAACAGGACGUCGUAGAGGGUGAGAAUCCCGUACGCGGCCGACGGCCUUGGCCCGGGUGAAGCUCUCUCGACAAUCCAGGUGGUUGGGAAAUGCACUUCUAAUGGGGGGGUAAUUUUCUCUUAAAGUUAAUUUUGGGCCGAAGACCGAUGCGCCACAAGUAGAUUGUUCGAAARAUGAAAAGCACUUUGAAAAGAGGGUCAAACAGUACGUGAAAUUGUUGAAAGGGAAGCGCUCGCACCCAGACUUGCCCCCGGKCGAUCAUCCCGGGCUCGCUCGGGUGCACUGGAUCGGGCUCAGGCCAGCAUCCGUUCGGGUGGUCGGAGAAAGGCGCCGAGGAAUGUGGCUCCCCUCGGGGAGUGUUAGAGCCUCGGGCGACAUGCGCCCCGCCGGGACUGAGGCCCGCGCUGCGGCGAGGAUGCUGGCGUAAUGGUUGUGAGCGACCCGUCUUGAAACACGGACCAAGGAGUCUAAUAUCUAUGCGAGUAUGUGGGUGUCAAACCCAGGUGCGCAAUGAAAGUGAACGCAGGUGAGACCCCGCGAGGGCGCAUCAUCGACCGAUCCGGAUGUCUUCGGAUGGAUUUGAGUAGGAGCAUAGCUGUUGGGACCCGAAAGAGAGUGAACUAUACGUGGAUAGGCUGAAGCCAGAGGAAACUCUGAUGGAGGGUCGCAGCGGUUCUGACGUGCAAAUCGAUCGUCAAAUUUGC